RNAcentral lists this ribosomal RNA (253 nucleotides) under uncultured bacterium. RNAcentral's name for it is "partial 16S ribosomal RNA". It matches the Rfam family "Bacterial small subunit ribosomal RNA", at positions 524 to 776 of the family's 1533-position model. The record is from RNAcentral.
UACGUAGGGUGCGAGCGUUACUCGGAAUUACUGGGCGUAAAGGGCGCGUAGGCGGCCUUGUAAGUCUCGUGUGAAAGCCCUCGGCUUAACUGAGGAUCUGCACGGGAUACUGCGAGGCUUGAGUUCGGGAGAGGAAAGCGGAAUUCCGGGUGUAGCGGUGAAAUGCGUAGAUAUCCGGAGGAACACCAGUGGCGAAGGCGGCUUUCUGGACCGACACUGACGCUGAGGCGCGAAAGCUAGGGGAGCAAACGGG